This 622-nucleotide ribosomal RNA is filed under the name uncultured Pseudomonadota bacterium. RNAcentral describes it as "bacterial SSU rRNA". It matches the Rfam family "Bacterial small subunit ribosomal RNA", at positions 69 to 680 of the family's 1533-position model. Lineage: Bacteria; Pseudomonadati; Pseudomonadota. The record is from RNAcentral.
GUAACAGGAAGAAGCUUGCUUCUUUGCUGACGAGUGGCGGACGGGUGAGUAAUGUCUGGGAAACUGCCUGAUGGAGGGGGAUAACUACUGGAAACGGUAGCUAAUACCGCAUAACGUCGCAAGACCAAAGAGGGGGACCUUCGGGCCUCUUGCCAUCGGAUGUGCCCAGAUGGGAUUAGCUAGUAGGUGGGGUAACGGCUCACCUAGGCGACGAUCCCUAGCUGGUCUGAGAGGAUGACCAGCCACACUGGAACUGAGACACGGUCCAGACUCCUACGGGAGGCAGCAGUGGGGAAUAUUGCACAAUGGGCGCAAGCCUGAUGCAGCCAUGCCGCGUGUAUGAAGAAGGCCUUCGGGUUGUAAAGUACUUUCAGCGGGGAGGAAGGGAGUAAAGUUAAUACCUUUGCUCAUUGACGUUACCCGCAGAAGAAGCACCGGCUAACUCCGUGCCAGCAGCCGCGGUAAUACGGAGGGUGCAAGCGUUAAUCGGAAUUACUGGGCGUAAAGCGCACGCAGGCGGUUUGUUAAGUCAGAUGUGAAAUCCCCGGGCUCAACCUGGGAACUGCAUCUGAUACUGGCAAGCUUGAGUCUCGUAGAGGGGGGUAGAAUUCCAGGUGUAGCG